This 234-nucleotide long non-coding RNA is filed under the name Salvia miltiorrhiza (redroot sage). Its description in RNAcentral is "long non-coding RNA (SMIL_LNC003156)". Lineage: Eukaryota; Viridiplantae; Streptophyta; Magnoliopsida; Lamiales; Lamiaceae. The record is from RNAcentral.
UCAAUUUUAUCACGAACAAGCAACAAAAAGAACAAAAUCGGUGGUACGUAUGUCAUAAUAGAACAAAAAAAUUAAUAAAGACAAAAAGAAAUUCUUACCUAUUCGAAGAAAACUCCACUAUCGUAUGGAGUCGAUCAAUCGAAACUUCGUUCUUCAAUAUUCAAAACAGUAGCACAAAUUUUUUUGAAAUUCAGUACUACUAUUUGUUCAGCAGCUGCGUUGUUUUUUGAAAAC